UGGAGAUGCGCGUUCAUGUGAAUUCUCCAUGUUUUUCUUUCUCUCUUUGAAUGAAUACAACGUCGCCCGGUUGGAAUAUUAUCGCUAUUUUACAAGAAAAAUCGCAUAAAAAAUGAUUUUAAACAGCGUUUGACAUGCUUCGAAGUACGGUAAUGGAAUAUUUAGACAUUUUUUGUCACGAAAUGCACUCGGAUACUGACCUGAACGCACAAACAGAACGGAGGUAUUUGGAUAAGACUAUGGAUUAUUUCGAACCAAAACAACAUUUGUUGUUGAAGUAGAAUUCCUGGGAGUGCAUUCUGAUGAAGACAGCAAAGGUAUGUCUUGAUGUGAGAGAGGAAGCCACUCCCGUCAUCGCCACAUCACCCGCUCUUAAAAUAACCUUUGGGCCAACUGGGGGCCCAAGGCUGGUUAGGAGACACCGCUAGAGACACUAUGUAAUUGUGAUGAACUGAGAGAAUAUUAGGGUAGCAU
Molecule: long non-coding RNA, 474 nt
Filed under: Salmo salar (Atlantic salmon)
Lineage: Eukaryota; Metazoa; Chordata; Actinopteri; Salmoniformes; Salmonidae
Description: lncRNA (ENSSSAG00000108741.1)
Source: RNAcentral